This 292-nucleotide ribosomal RNA is filed under the name uncultured prokaryote. RNAcentral's name for it is "partial 16S ribosomal RNA". It matches the Rfam family "Bacterial small subunit ribosomal RNA", at positions 355 to 661 of the family's 1533-position model. The record is from RNAcentral.
UGGGGAAUAUUGGGCAAUGGGCGAAAGCCUGACCCAGCAACGCCGCGUGAUUGAAGAAGGCCUUCGGGUUGUAAAGCUCUGUCCUAUGGGACGAAAAAAAUGACGGUACCAUAGGAGGAAGCCCCGGCUAACUACGUGCCAGCAGCCGCGGUAAUACGUAGGGGGCGAGCGUUGUCCGGAAUUACUGGGCGUAAAGGGUGCGCAGGCGGUUUUUUAAGUCAGAUGUGAAAUACCCAGGCUUAACUUGGGGGGUGCAUCGGAUACUGGAGGACAUGAGUGCAGGAGAGGAAAG